AAUUAAUUUGAAACAUGUCGUAUUAAUCGUAUAAUAACGCAUAAAUUAUGGUUUCACUUCGCAUAGUUCUUCGGAUUAGGUUAUCUCGAACAGGCAACUGAUCGAGCAGCUGUGGCUCGACGGCGACCGACUCGAUGGAGAUUUUUCUUUUUCAUUUCCACUGCUCCGUGAUUUCACUUCAUCGUGUAGCUGAAAUUCCUCUCUCACCAGGCAACGCUAUAGGCCUACCUCGUGCUAUAAAUGCAUGAACCUGCUACAUUGCCACCAGUACGUGGCACCGCCAACCAACUAGCUUUCCAUGGUAAAGACAAAAAAAAAAACAAAACAGGUUAUCAUUAUCACUCUCCUUAAUACGUGGAAGGAUUUUUGUUUUUUUGACAUACAUUCUCAGUGUUUGCAACCUGGAAUAUUUAGAGCA
Long non-coding RNA from Zingiber officinale, 418 nucleotides. RefSeq lists it as uncharacterized. The transcript is spliced from 2 exons. Lineage: Eukaryota; Viridiplantae; Streptophyta; Magnoliopsida; Zingiberales; Zingiberaceae. The record is from RefSeq and is a predicted model, not a curated record.